ACUCCUACGGGAGGCAGCAGUGGGGAAUUUUGGACAAUGGGCGCAAGCCUGAUCCAGCAAUGCCGCGUGAGUGAAGAAGGCCUUCGGGUUGUAAAGCUCUUUUGUCAGGGAAGAAACGGUAGAGGCUAAUAUCCUUUGCUAAUGACGGUACCUGAAGAAUAAGCACCGGCUAACUACGUGCCAGCAGCCGUGGUAAUACGUAGGGUGCAAGCGUUAAUCGGAAUUACUGGGCGUAAAGCGUGCGCAGGCGGUUUUGUAAGUCUGACGUGAAAUCCCCGGGCUCAACCUGGGAAUUGCGUUGGAGACUGCAAGGCUAGAAUCUGGGCAGAGGGGGGUGAGAAUUCCACGUGUAGCAGUGAAAUGCGUAGAGAUGUGGAGGAACACCGAUGGCGAAGGCAGCCCCCUGGCCAGG
RNAcentral lists this ribosomal RNA (412 nucleotides) under uncultured bacterium. RNAcentral's name for it is "bacterial SSU rRNA". It matches the Rfam family "Bacterial small subunit ribosomal RNA", at positions 335 to 737 of the family's 1533-position model. The record is from RNAcentral.